This 262-nucleotide ribosomal RNA is filed under the name Paenibacillus barengoltzii J12. RNAcentral describes it as "23S rRNA. Bacterial LSU". It matches the Rfam family "Bacterial large subunit ribosomal RNA", at positions 2655 to 2925 of the family's 2925-position model. Lineage: Bacteria; Bacillati; Bacillota; Bacilli; Caryophanales; Paenibacillaceae. The record is from RNAcentral.
AGGAAAUUUGAGAGGAGCUGUCCUUAGUACGAGAGGACCGGGAUGGACGCACCGCUGGUGCACCAGUUGUUCCGCCAGGAGCACAGCUGGGUAGCUAAGUGCGGACGGGAUAAGCGCUGAAAGCAUCUAAGCGUGAAGCCCCCCUCAAGAUGAGAUUUCCCAAUAAGUAAGACCCCUUGAAGACGACAAGGUUGAUAGGCCUGAGGUGGAAGUGCAGCAAUGCAUGGAGCUGACAGGUACUAAUCGGUCGAGGGCUUAUCCA